This 229-nucleotide unclassified non-coding RNA is filed under the name plant metagenome. RNAcentral's name for it is "partial contains 5.8S ribosomal RNA, internal transcribed spacer 2, and large subunit ribosomal RNA". The record is from RNAcentral.
AAUCGAACGUACACCGCUUUUUCAAGCAGGCUGGCGAGACCACGCAGAAGCUGAUAGCCCGGGAUAACGUCAAGAACCUCAUCAUCGCGGGUACCAAGGAGAGGACCUCCGAGUUCCGAGAGACGCUACCCGAGCCCGUAAAAGAGAAGGUCGUCGCCGAGGGACGGGUCGCCGCCAACGCGCCGGAGAACGAGAUCAUGGAGCAGUUCGAGGCGAUCCAGCAAGAGGC